RNAcentral lists this long non-coding RNA (324 nucleotides) under Homo sapiens (human). RNAcentral's name for it is "HSALNT0269629". The record is from RNAcentral. Lineage: Eukaryota; Metazoa; Chordata; Mammalia; Primates; Hominidae.
AAAGAGAGGAUUAAGGGCACAGAAAGGAGAGAAGGGCCUCCGUCGUUGCUCUGGGACCUCGUUGCUGACCCUGGAUGACAGACCACUGCCUAGGAUGAAAUUCCCCUCUGGAUGGAUGGCUUCUGGUUUGGUGAUGGAAUGGAUUCCAGGGCCUCUGAGGAAGGCAGGAAGCCUUGGGACUUGGCAAUCUCCACAGGAGAUGGGGUGUGUGCUAGGUGAGGCCCCCAUCACCAGGAGCAAGGCCUGGUCCACCCUGAGACCCAGCGCCCACUUACUGUCCAUGCCUUCACCUUGCUAAGUUAGUGUGUGGUCCACUUGCUAAGA